ACAAUAGCUAAACCAACAAAAGUAAAUCAAGAGAAAUCAUAAGAAAUAUAGCUACUGUUCAGGACUCAAAAUCGGAUAUUGUGAAGCUCCUAAUCCAAUCUUCACCAUUCAAUCAAACACCAAGAUGCUAGAAACACUCAGUCAAAAUUUCAGCUCGAUCUAAUUAUGAACGAGUUGGCAAACAUGAUCUGAAGUUGACUAGUCGUAAAGAAAAACUGUAGCAACUAAACUCUCUUUCUCUCUUCUCUCUUUGGUGAAAGCUCUCUCAAAAUCUCUCUUAUGUGCUAAUGUCUCUCAAAGACAAACACCAAUGAGAAUGAAUAAUUCUUUCUCAAAUAGUCCUAUUUAUAGAUGAUGGUUAGUUCUUUUCCUAAAGCCAAACCAACCCCAAAUAGGAAUAAAAUCUGAUUCAUUUUUCAAAUAGGAUUGGGAAACAAAAGAGAAUAGGAUUAUUCCAUGGGCCACG
Molecule: long non-coding RNA, 466 nt
Filed under: Capsicum annuum
Lineage: Eukaryota; Viridiplantae; Streptophyta; Magnoliopsida; Solanales; Solanaceae
Description: long non-coding RNA (CANN_LNC019345)
Source: RNAcentral